This 466-nucleotide ribosomal RNA is filed under the name Triticum aestivum (bread wheat). Its description in RNAcentral is "partial small subunit ribosomal RNA". It matches the Rfam family "Eukaryotic small subunit ribosomal RNA", at positions 1318 to 1799 of the family's 1831-position model. Lineage: Eukaryota; Viridiplantae; Streptophyta; Magnoliopsida; Poales; Poaceae. The record is from RNAcentral.
GUUAAUUCCGUUAACGAACGAGACCUCAGCCUGCUAACUAGCUAUGCGGAGCCAUCCCUCCGCAGCUAGCUUCUUAGAGGGACUAUCGCCGUUUAGGCGACGGAAGUUUGAGGCAAUAACAGGUCUGUGAUGCCCUUAGAUGUUCUGGGCCGCACACGCGCUACACUGAUGUAUUCAACGAGUAUAUAGCCUUGGCCGACAGGCCCGGGUAAUCUUGGGAAAUUUCAUCGUGAUGGGGAUAGAUCAUUGCAAUUGUUGGUCUUCAACGAGGAAUGCCUAGUAAGCGCGAGUCAUCAGCUCGCGUUGACUACGUCCCUGCCCUUUGUACACACCGCCCGUCGCUCCUACCGAUUGAAUGGUCCGGUGAAGUGUUCGGAUCGCGGCGACGGGGGCGGUUCGCCGCCCCCGACGGCGCGAGAAGUCCAUUGAACCUUAUCAUUUAGAGGAAGGAGAAGUCGUAACAAGG